GGGGGAAAAAUUAUUAAAUAAUAAUAAUAAAAUAAAUUUUAAAAUUAAAAAUAAAUAAUGGGGGUUAAAGUAUUUUUAAUAGAAAAAAUUUAAAGUUUUAUAGUUAAUUAGUAUUGUGGGGGAAAUUUGAAAUAUGUGAAAAUUAAUUAAUAAGAAAAAAAAUUUAAUUUAUUGUAUCUUGUGUAUCAGAGUUUAUUAAAUAAGUUUUUUAGGGAAAAAAAUCUCGAAUUUAAAAGAGUUAAUUAAUUAAUAAAGUUAAUGUAACAUAAUUAUUUUAAAUGAUUAAUUAGAAAUGAAAUGUUAAUCGUUUUUAAAUAUAUCUAGUUAUUUUAGAAAAAAAUUUAAUUUUAAAUUUAUAUAAUUUUAUAAUUUCAUAAUAAAAAUUAUAAAAAUUUAAAUUUAAUAUAUUAAGGGAUAAGCUUUAAAUUAAAAAUUUAUAAUAAAUUAAUAUUAAAAUUAAAAUUUUUAAAAUUUAUAUUGUUUAAAAAUUAUAAUUUAUUAUAAAAAAUUUUAAUAAAUAUAUAAAAUUUAAUAGUAAAAAUUUAAAUUUAUAUAAAAUAAUAAUUUUUAAUAAAAUAAAAUUAAUAAUAAUGAUAAAAUUAGUAUAAAUGUAAUUAAAAAUAUUAAAUAAACAUUUAAAAUUAAUAAAAAGGAAUUCGGCAAAUAAAAUAUUCACUUGUUUAUCAAAAACAUGUCUUUUUGAAUAUAAUUUAAAGUCUAAUCUGCCCACUGAUAAUUAUUAAAGGGCUGCAGUAUAAUGACUGUACAAAGGUAGCAUAAUCAAUAGUUUUUUAAUUGGAAACUUGUAUGAAAGAUUUGAUGAAAUAUAAACUGUCUCUUAAUUAUUUUUAGAAAUUUAUUUUUUAGUUAAAAAGCUAAAGUAAUUUUAAAAGACGAGAAGACCCUAUAGAGUUUUAUAAUUAAUUUUAUUUUAAAAUUAUAUUAAAGUUUUUAUUAAAAUAAAAUUAAUUAUUGUAUUGGGGUGAUAGAAAAAUUAAAAAAACUUUUUUUAAAAAUUAAACAUAAAUAAAUGAAUAAAUGAUCCAUUAAUAAUGAUUAUAAGAAAAAAUUACCUUAGGGAUAACAGCGUAAUAUUUUUUUUUAGUUCAUAUAAAAAAAAAAGAUUGCGACCUCGAUGUUGGAUUAAGAUAAAAUUUAAAUGCAAAAGCUUAAAAUUUUGAUCUGUUCGAUCAUUAAAAUCUUACAUGAUCUGAGUUCAAACCGGUGUAAGCCAGGUUGGUUUCUAUCUUUAAAUAAUAAUAAUAUUUUA
Molecule: ribosomal RNA, 1270 nt
Filed under: Davidina nanna
Lineage: Eukaryota; Metazoa; Arthropoda; Insecta; Lepidoptera; Nymphalidae
Description: partial 16S ribosomal RNA
Source: RNAcentral